Molecule: ribosomal RNA, 253 nt
Filed under: uncultured bacterium
Lineage: Bacteria
Description: partial 16S ribosomal RNA
Rfam family: Bacterial small subunit ribosomal RNA
Source: RNAcentral
UACGGGGGGGGCAAGCGUUGUUCGGAAUUACUGGGCGUAAAGCGUGCGCAGGCGGCGAUGUAAGUCAGAUGUGAAAUCCCCGGGCUCAACCUGGGAACUGCAUUUGUGACUGCAUCGCUGGAGUGCGGCAGAGGGGGAUGGAAUUCCGCGUGUAGCAGUGAAAUGCGUAGAUAUGCGGAGGAACACCGAUGGCGAAGGCAAUCCCCUGGGCCUGCACUGACGCUCAUGCACGAAAGCGUGGGGAGCAAACAGG